CUGUAUAUUGCGUAAAUGUAAAUCCUGCAGGGUAGCCAUAACUUCUAAAAUUACUAGAAUUACUUCCUGAGACAAUAACACCAAACUUCACAUCAUUAGAGGAAGCAAUAUCAGUUACCCUCGUGAUAUCAUACGUUGCCCAUACAUACUUCGUUCCAUUGACCUUUUGCCAAUUAAACUGAGCACUACUCUGUUCAUCCACCGUCAAGGCGCCUUUGUAUUGCUCUUCAAUAAUUAUUAUGAUGUGAUGGGCAAAGUAAGAUUUGGCCAUUGGCACAACUUUGUAGCUCGUGCCAAACUGCUCAGUUGAUGGUAAAACAAUGCUGGAUGGGUCAUAAGGUCUGACAUAUUGCACCACUUGGCAGGGUUUGCUGCAUAAAACAAAGGACGAUAGUUCGUCAUGACAGGGACCAACUUCUAGAAAAUCACCACGAUUAAUCACUCUCAUCACAUUUCUGCUUCUCACCAGGGUUUUUUGAGAGGCAAACACACGAUAAAAAUCUCCGCAAGUCUUCGAUUUCAUAGCAGGAACCAAAAUGUAUUCUUUCCCCCAUUUCUCAAUGGGUAGGAGAAAAGAGACUAAAUGGUCGCAGGCACCACUGUUUCCAACGUUUUCACAUGGGCUACCAGAUAAUACAGCAACAGGGUAAUUUGAAUUGAUAAUUGUUCCGGACAAGUCAUAGUCGUGGGUGAGGUGAAAUGUUUCCAGUUUGUUAAGAGUGACGGUGAAUGUCUCUCCCACACCAUACGUUGAAUUGAGGUAACUAACCCUUCCAUUUGUCUUUAAUGUAAUGCUGACUUUCGUUCCAUCCCGCUGCGAAAUCACUCCAAAGUUUGCUGAAUUCAGAGAAAGGCCAGAACCUAAAUUCACUCUAGUAGAGGCAACGUAUGUUUUACCAAGUUCACUUGUAGGCAAAGCAAGAAACGCAUCUGAAGUACCAUGUACAUGACUUAUUCCAAUAACUGCAAUAUUGGCAGUUGAUUGUAUUUGCACACCUUUGUUUUCCACGCCUGUUCCUUGCAUUCUGAAUGAAGAUGACACUUUAAAAUUGAACACCAUUCCAGCUUUAAGGGAAAUCGAUUGAAGUGGAUUCUUAGACAUGAGCGAUGUAAUUGUAAUGCUUGCGUCACUUUGAGCAGUGAUGCUUAUUUCAUUGAACCCUCGCCGAUUGUCAACUAAAUACUGCUGCGUAAAUCCAAGUACGAAAUGUGCUCCGUAAUUAGACUCACCCACUGCU
RNAcentral lists this long non-coding RNA (1238 nucleotides) under Paramuricea clavata. The record is from RNAcentral. Lineage: Eukaryota; Metazoa; Cnidaria; Anthozoa; Malacalcyonacea; Plexauridae.